This 63-nucleotide transfer RNA is filed under the name Drepana pallida. RNAcentral's name for it is "tRNA-Arg". The record is from RNAcentral. Lineage: Eukaryota; Metazoa; Arthropoda; Insecta; Lepidoptera; Drepanidae.
AAAUAAGAAGCAAUUUGCAUUUAAUUUCGAAUUAAAAGACAGAAUAUAAUUAUUCCUUAUUUA